RNAcentral lists this ribosomal RNA (397 nucleotides) under uncultured bacterium. RNAcentral describes it as "partial 16S ribosomal RNA". It matches the Rfam family "Bacterial small subunit ribosomal RNA", at positions 360 to 774 of the family's 1533-position model. The record is from RNAcentral.
AAUAUUGGACAAUGGGGGCAACCCUGAUCCAGCCAUGCCGCGUGAGUGAUGAAGGCCNNNGGGUUNUCAAGCUCUUUCACCGGNGACNAUAAUGACGGUAACCGGAGAAGAAGCCCCGGCUAACUUCGUGCCAGCAGCCGGGGUAAUACGAAGGGGGCUAGCGUUGUUCGGAUUUACUGGGCGUAAAGCACACGCAGGCGGAUUGGUCAGUUAGGGGUGAAAUCCCAGAGCUCAACUCUGGGAAUGCCUUUAAUACUGCCAAUCUUGAGUAUGGAAGAGGGAAGUGGAAUUGCGAGUGUAGAGGUGAAAUUCGUAGAUAUUCGCAGGAACACCAGUGGCGAAGGCGGCUUACUGGUCCAUUACUGACGCUGAGGUGCGAAAGCGUGGGGAGCAAACA